AUACGGAGGAUGCAAGCGUUAUCCGGAUUUAUUGGGUUUAAAGGGUGCGUAGGCGGUUUGCUAAGCGGGAGGUGAAAUGCCGGCGCUCAACGUCGGAAGUGCCUCCCGAACUGGUGGACUUGAAUGACUCUGCCGUGGGAGGAAUGUGUAGUGUAGCGGUGAAAUGCUUAGAGAUUACACAGAACACCGAUUGCGAAGGCAUCUCACGAAGAGUUGAUUGACGCUGAGGCACGAAAGCGUGGGGAUCAAACAGGAUUAGAUACCCUGGUAGUCCACGCAGUAAACGAUGAUGGCUAACCGCUGGGCUUAUCAGUUCAGUGGCCAAGCGAAAGCGAUAAGCCAUCCACCUGGGGAGUACGACCGCAAGGUUGAAACUCAAAUGAAUUGACGGGG
RNAcentral lists this ribosomal RNA (393 nucleotides) under uncultured bacterium. Its description in RNAcentral is "partial 16S ribosomal RNA". It matches the Rfam family "Bacterial small subunit ribosomal RNA", at positions 523 to 918 of the family's 1533-position model. The record is from RNAcentral.